This 362-nucleotide ribosomal RNA is filed under the name Bacillus pumilus. Its description in RNAcentral is "partial 23S ribosomal RNA". It matches the Rfam family "Bacterial large subunit ribosomal RNA", at positions 514 to 878 of the family's 2925-position model. Lineage: Bacteria; Bacillati; Bacillota; Bacilli; Caryophanales; Bacillaceae. The record is from RNAcentral.
GUGAAAAGCACCCCGGAAGGGGAGUGAAAUAGAUCCUGAAACCGUGUGCCUACAAGUAGUCAGAGCCCGUUAAAGGGUGAUGGCGUGCCUUUUGUAGAAUGAACCGGCGAGUUACGAUCCCGUGCAAGGUUAAGCAGAAGAUGCGGAGCCGCAGCGAAAGCGAGUCUGAAUAGGGCGCAUGAGUACGUGGUCGUAGACCCGAAACCAGGUGAUCUACCCAUGUCCAGGGUGAAGUUCAGGUAACACUGAAUGGAGGCCCGAACCCACGCACGUUGAAAAGUGCGGGGAUGAGGUGUGGGUAGGGGUGAAAUGCCAAUCGAACCUGGAGAUAGCUGGUUCUCUCCGAAAUAGCUUUAGGGCUA